This 510-nucleotide ribosomal RNA is filed under the name uncultured bacterium. Its description in RNAcentral is "bacterial SSU rRNA". It matches the Rfam family "Bacterial small subunit ribosomal RNA", at positions 93 to 614 of the family's 1533-position model. The record is from RNAcentral.
UAGCGGCGGACGGGUGAGUAACACGUGAGCAACCUGCCUUUAGCUGGGGAAUAACACUGGGAAACCAGUGCUAAUACCGCAUAAAAUCUUAAAGUGGCAUCACUAAUAAGAUCAAAGGAAUUUAUUCCGGCAAAAGAUGGGCUCGCGUCCGAUUAGAUAGUUGGUAGGGUAAAAGCCUACCAAGUCAACGAUCGGUAGCCGGACUGAGAGGUUGACCGGCCACAUUGGGACUGAGACACGGCCCAGACUCCUACGGGAGGCAGCAGUGGGGAAUAUUGGGCAAUGGGGGAAACCCUGACCCAGCAACGCCGCGUGAAGGAAGAAGGUCUUCGGAUUGUAAACUUCUUUGAUCAGGGACGAAGAAAUGACUGUACCUGAAGAACAAGUCACGGCUAACUACGUGCCAGCAGCCGCGGUAAUACGUAGGUGGCAAGCGUUAUCCGGAUUUACUGGGUGUAAAGGGCGUGUAGGCGGGUCUGUAAGUCAGAUGUGAAAUCUCCGGGCUUAACU